This 152-nucleotide small RNA is filed under the name Serinicoccus chungangensis. Its description in RNAcentral is "c-di-AMP sequence". It matches the Rfam family "c-di-AMP riboswitch aptamer (ydaO/yuaA leader)". Rfam says of the family: This family represents a conserved RNA structure found upstream of the ydaO and yuaA genes in Bacillus subtilis and related genes in other bacteria. The ydaO/yuaA element is thought to act as a genetic "off" switch for the ydaO and yuaA genes in its native state. It is believed that the element may be triggered during osmotic shock leading to activation of ydaO, a predicted amino acid transporter gene, and members of the yuaA-yubG operon which code for KtrA and KtrB K+ transporters. The record is from RNAcentral. Lineage: Bacteria; Bacillati; Actinomycetota; Actinomycetes; Micrococcales; Ornithinimicrobiaceae.
GUGGCACGUAUGACACCGCUUUGACAGAGCGGGGGAACCACCUCUGGAGCCGUCCCUGCGGCUCCUCGGGGCGACGGACCGGCUUGUCCGGUCCAGGGGCACUCCAGCCCGAAGCCCGACAGCUCACCCCGUAGGCACUGGAGGAUCUACAU